GCAAAGAUGAAUACAGUUUAAUGUGAGUAUAAAUAACUUUCGAAUGAAAUUUUGUAACAGUACUGAAACCUGAUCUUUUUAACUCGAUUUGCAGGCAGAUAAACGGCAAGGAAGAGAUGAUCUUAUGAGUCCGAUGCCUGCAAAGAUGAAUACAGUUUAAUGUGAGUAUAAAUAAUUUUCGAAUGAAAUUUUAUAACAGUACUGAAUCCUGAUCUUUUUAACUCGAUUUGCAGGCAGUUAGAUGCACGAAUUAUCUCGCGUUUGUACCCUCCAUGUGGAGUAAUGUAAGCAGUUUAUUCUUCUGCAAACAUGAACAAUCUAACCGAUGCUUCAAGGUGCCCUUUCAUAGACUUAAAAAUAGAUUGCCAGGACCUCUGGUAUACUCUCCGAAGCUUUCGUUUUUUUUUUAUAUAUGUAAUUGGUAUAUUCUUUUUCUCGAGGGUUCGGAACAAUAAGUCUAACAUGUCAUUGUUUACAUGUAUAAUACUUCGAUAAAUUAAGCUCACUUUUGACUAUAAAUUUUGAGAUUGAAAAUUGAAUUCUUGAAGUUGUAUCUGG
RNAcentral lists this long non-coding RNA (558 nucleotides) under Solanum tuberosum (potato). RNAcentral's name for it is "long non-coding RNA (STUB_LNC005181)". Lineage: Eukaryota; Viridiplantae; Streptophyta; Magnoliopsida; Solanales; Solanaceae. The record is from RNAcentral.